Long non-coding RNA from Mus musculus (house mouse), 1016 nucleotides. RefSeq annotates it as predicted gene, 53712. Lineage: Eukaryota; Metazoa; Chordata; Mammalia; Rodentia; Muridae. The transcript has 3 exons. The record is from RefSeq and is a predicted model, not a curated record.
AGGACAAGAAUCCUCAUUUAUGGGGAACUGGGAAAGUACUUAAAGUGAUGAUUUUGUUCUGCCAGGGUGAGCCCGGUCUGAAGGAAUGCCUGCCUGCUUAGCCUUUCCUGGAUCCGUCUACUCUGGUCAUUAUUGAAGUGGAUGUUGGAGGCUGCAGCUGUCACUAAGACACGUAGAGUGCCUGUUUGAUAUUAACGGUACCUUGGGGCCCAUUCCCAGCACGGAGAAAGUCAACGUGAGAAUUCACACCAGAAAAGUGGAUAUCAGGGGUAAGUGUAGCUGACCUCUAAAAAAGAAGCUUCAUCUGAGGACCAUCUUCUCCGUGUGAGAGAGACACUGCACUAAUGAAAUCUUAACAAAAUGCCAGCCCAAAGAAGACCUGUACAGUGACACUGGUUGACACCUGCUGUGAUGAAACAUCACAACCAAAAGCAACUUGGGGAAAAAGGGGUUUAUUUGACCUUACAGUCCUAUAGUCCAUUAUGAAGGGAAGUCAUGGCAGUUUUGCUAUCCAUGGCUUGUUCAACAAGCUUUUCUACACAACUCAGGACCACCUACCCAAGGAUAAGGCUCACAGUGAGCUGGACUCUCUCACAUCAAUCAAGAAAAUGCCACACAGACAUAUCUACAGGCAAAUCUGAUUUUCUCACUUGAGAUUCCCUCUUCCUAGAUGACUGGAACUUGUGACAAGUUGACAAAAAACUAACCAACACGGAAUCCCUGUGUGGAUGGGGAAAAUCUUACAAGGUCUCCUCUUUAAAUCAAGAGUCACAGACAAUCAAUGACUAAUGACGGGGAGAAUCAGACUUAUCCAAGGUCUAGAAGGUUAUCUAACCUCAAGUGGUCACCUCUAAAACACAUGUACAUAUACACGACACUAAAGGGACUCAUCAGGUUGCAUUUAUAUAUAUGUACCUCCCCCUCUUUGUGUGUGUGUAUGUGUACACUGCAUAGCAAUGAUAACGAGAGAAGAAUUCAUUAAUUUGAGGAGUUUGGGGGACAUGGGAAGAGUUGGA